Molecule: ribosomal RNA, 2906 nt
Filed under: Escherichia coli
Lineage: Bacteria; Pseudomonadati; Pseudomonadota; Gammaproteobacteria; Enterobacterales; Enterobacteriaceae
Description: 23S ribosomal RNA
Rfam family: Bacterial large subunit ribosomal RNA
Source: RNAcentral
GGUUAAGCGACUAAGCGUACACGGUGGAUGCCCUGGCAGUCAGAGGCGAUGAAGGACGUGCUAAUCUGCGAUAAGCGUCGGUAAGGUGAUAUGAACCGUUAUAACCGGCGAUUUCCGAAUGGGGAAACCCAGUGUGAUUCGUCACACUAUCAUUAACUGAAUCCAUAGGUUAAUGAGGCGAACCGGGGGAACUGAAACAUCUAAGUACCCCGAGGAAAAGAAAUCAACCGAGAUUCCCCCAGUAGCGGCGAGCGAACGGGGAGCAGCCCAGAGCCUGAAUCAGUGUGUGUGUUAGUGGAAGCGUCUGGAAAGGCGCGCGAUACAGGGUGACAGCCCCGUACACAAAAAUGCACAUACUGUGAGCUCGAUGAGUAGGGCGGGACACGUGGUAUCCUGUCUGAAUAUGGGGGGACCAUCCUCCAAGGCUAAAUACUCCUGACUGACCGAUAGUGAACCAGUACCGUGAGGGAAAGGCGAAAAGAACCCCGGCGAGGGGAGUGAAAAAGAACCUGAAACCGUGUACGUACAAGCAGUGGGAGCACAGAGCAAUCUGUGUGACUGCGUACCUUUUGUAUAAUGGGUCAGCGACUUAUAUUCUGUAGCAAGGUUAACCGAAUAGGGGAGCCGAAGGGAAACCGAGUCUUAACUGGGCGUUAAGUUGCAGGGUAUAGACCCGAAACCCGGUGAUCUAGCCAUGGGCAGGUUGAAGGUUGGGUAACACUAACUGGAGGACCGAACCGACUAAUGUUGAAAAAUUAGCGGAUGACUUGUGGCUGGGGGUGAAAGGCCAAUCAAACCGGGAGAUAGCUGGUUCUCCCCGAAAGCUAUUUAGGUAGCGCCUCGUGAAUUCAUCUCCGGGGGUAGAGCACUGUUUCGGCAAGGGGGUCAUCCCGACUUACCAACCCGAUGCAAACUGCGAAUACCGGAGAAUGUUAUCACGGGAGACACACGGCGGGUGCUAACGUCCGUCGUGAAGAGGGAAACAACCCAGACCGCCAGCUAAGGUCCCAAAGUCAUGGUUAAGUGGGAAACGAUGUGGGAAGGCCCAGACAGCCAGGAUGUUGGCUUAGAAGCAGCCAUCAUUUAAAGAAAGCGUAAUAGCUCACUGGUCGAGUCGGCCUGCGCGGAAGAUGUAACGGGGCUAAACCAUGCACCGAAGCUGCGGCAGCGACGCUUAUGCGUUGUUGGGUAGGGGAGCGUUCUGUAAGCCUGCGAAGGUGUGCUGUGAGGCAUGCUGGAGGUAUCAGAAGUGCGAAUGCUGACAUAAGUAACGAUAAAGCGGGUGAAAAGCCCGCUCGCCGGAAGACCAAGGGUUCCUGUCCAACGUUAAUCGGGGCAGGGUGAGUCGACCCCUAAGGCGAGGCCGAAAGGCGUAGUCGAUGGGAAACAGGUUAAUAUUCCUGUACUUGGUGUUACUGCGAAGGGGGGACGGAGAAGGCUAUGUUGGCCGGGCGACGGUUGUCCCGGUUUAAGCGUGUAGGCUGGUUUUCCAGGCAAAUCCGGAAAAUCAAGGCUGAGGCGUGAUGACGAGGCACUACGGUGCUGAAGCAACAAAUGCCCUGCUUCCAGGAAAAGCCUCUAAGCAUCAGGUAACAUCAAAUCGUACCCCAAACCGACACAGGUGGUCAGGUAGAGAAUACCAAGGCGCUUGAGAGAACUCGGGUGAAGGAACUAGGCAAAAUGGUGCCGUAACUUCGGGAGAAGGCACGCUGAUAUGUAGGUGAAGUCCCUCGCGGAUGGAGCUGAAAUCAGUCGAAGAUACCAGCUGGCUGCAACUGUUUAUUAAAAACACAGCACUGUGCAAACACGAAAGUGGACGUAUACGGUGUGACGCCUGCCCGGUGCCGGAAGGUUAAUUGAUGGGGUUAGCGCAAGCGAAGCUCUUGAUCGAAGCCCCGGUAAACGGCGGCCGUAACUAUAACGGUCCUAAGGUAGCGAAAUUCCUUGUCGGGUAAGUUCCGACCUGCACGAAUGGCGUAAUGAUGGCCAGGCUGUCUCCACCCGAGACUCAGUGAAAUUGAACUCGCUGUGAAGAUGCAGUGUACCCGCGGCAAGACGGAAAGACCCCGUGAACCUUUACUAUAGCUUGACACUGAACAUUGAGCCUUGAUGUGUAGGAUAGGUGGGAGGCUUUGAAGUGUGGACGCCAGUCUGCAUGGAGCCGACCUUGAAAUACCACCCUUUAAUGUUUGAUGUUCUAACGUUGACCCGUGAUCCGGGUUGCGGACAGUGUCUGGUGGGUAGUUUGACUGGGGCGGUCUCCUCCUAAAGAGUAACGGAGGAGCACGAAGGUUGGCUAAUCCUGGUCGGACAUCAGGAGGUUAGUGCAAUGGCAUAAGCCAGCUUGACUGCGAGCGUGACGGCGCGAGCAGGUGCGAAAGCAGGUCAUAGUGAUCCGGUGGUUCUGAAUGGAAGGGCCAUCGCUCAACGGAUAAAAGGUACUCCGGGGAUAACAGGCUGAUACCGCCCAAGAGUUCAUAUCGACGGCGGUGUUUGGCACCUCGAUGUCGGCUCAUCACAUCCUGGGGCUGAAGUAGGUCCCAAGGGUAUGGCUGUUCGCCAUUUAAAGUGGUACGCGAGCUGGGUUUAGAACGUCGUGAGACAGUUCGGUCCCUAUCUGCCGUGGGCGCUGGAGAACUGAGGGGGGCUGCUCCUAGUACGAGAGGACCGGAGUGGACGCAUCACUGGUGUUCGGGUUGUCAUGCCAAUGGCACUGCCCGGUAGCUAAAUGCGGAAGAGAUAAGUGCUGAAAGCAUCUAAGCACGAAACUUGCCCCGAGAUGAGUUCUCCCUGACUCCUUGAGAGUCCUGAAGGAACGUUGAAGACGACGACGUUGAUAGGCCGGGUGUGUAAGCGCAGCGAUGCGUUGAGCUAACCGGUACUAAUGAACCGUGAGGCUUAACCUU